CCUACGGGAGGCAGCAGUGGGGAAUAUUGCGCAAUGGGCGAAAGCCUGACGCAGCGACGCCGCGUGAGGGAUGAAGGUCUUCGGAUCGUAAACCUCUGUCAGCAGGGAAGAACGGUUACUGUGCUAAUCCGCAGUGAAUUGCCGGUACCUGCAAAGGACGCACCGGCUAACUCCGUGCCAGCAGCCGCGGUAAUACGGAGGGUGCGAGCGUUAAUCGGAAUUACUGGGCGUAAAGCGCUCGUAGGCGGUAUGUCAAGUCAAGGGUGAAAUCCCCGCGCUCAACGUGGGAACUGCCUUUGAUACUGGCAGACUGGAGUGUGGGAGAGGAUAGUGGAAUUCCAGGUGUAGGAGUGAAAUCCGUAGAUAUCUGGAGGAACAUCAGUGGCGAAGGCGACUAUCUGGCACAUAACUGACGCUGAGGAGCGAAAGCGUGGGUAGCAAACAGGAUUAGAUACCCCAGUAGUC
This 465-nucleotide ribosomal RNA is filed under the name uncultured bacterium. Its description in RNAcentral is "partial 16S ribosomal RNA". It matches the Rfam family "Bacterial small subunit ribosomal RNA", at positions 338 to 795 of the family's 1533-position model. The record is from RNAcentral.